Callithrix jacchus (white-tufted-ear marmoset) is the source of this 1366-nucleotide long non-coding RNA. RefSeq lists it as uncharacterized. The record is from RefSeq and is a predicted model, not a curated record. Lineage: Eukaryota; Metazoa; Chordata; Mammalia; Primates; Cebidae.
CACUGCUGGGUCCAGGGAUAUGUCACAAUCCCUUCUGUGGGCUGGGCAGUGCAGGAGCACCAAAUCACUCUGGUGCUGGGAAAGUCAUAUGUCAUUAUCAUACCAGAAGGAAUGUUCAGACACAAGAUUAGGCAUCUAGACUGGAAAGAAUCGAUACAUCAAAAACAUGACUAGACCGUGCAUGGUGGCUCAUACCUGCAGUCCCAGCAGGUUAGGCGGCCAUGGAGGAUACCUGGAACCCAGGAGUUGAAGACUAUUCUGGGGGAAUCAUGAUAUCAGUAAGAAGAAGCAUAAUUCAAGCCGCAGUGGCUCAGGACAGUUGUCUUGGCGCUUGAGGAGGCACAACAUCAAGUGCUGACGCAUUUCAUCACCCCUGCUUAGGCUACUUGAAAGCCCUGGGCCCCCUUGUUCCUUAGACCCGUGAUUUGCUCGACCCUAUCAAUAACUGUGGAUGGCUCAUCCUACUUACAGUGCCCCCCUGCUUUGUAUCCAAUCAAAGUCAGUGUGUCCAGGCACUCGGGGCCACUGCCAGUCUCAUGAACUGGUGGCAGUGGUCCCCUGGACACAACCCUUUUCCCUUGAUCUCAGUGUAUUGUGUCUUUAUUUCUACAGUUUCUCGUCUCCGCACCAGUAGAGAACAUCCUUUAGACCAAGUAGGGCUGGACCCUACAGCGAAACCCCAUCUUCACUAAAAAUACAAAAAUUAGCUGGGCGUGGAGUCUUGUGCCUGGAAUCCCAGCUACUCGGGAGGCUGAGGCAGAAGAAUCACUUGAACCCGGGAUGUGGAGGUUUCAGUGAGCCAAGAUCAUGACAUUUGCACUCCAGCUUGGGGAACAAGAGCAAAACUCCAAGAAAAAAAAUCAUCACACUGUCUUCAACAAUGGCUGAACUAAUUUACACUCCCACCAACAGUAUACAAACAUUUCUUUUUUUCCACAACCUAACCAGCAGCUGUUAUUUUGUUAACUUACUAAAAAUAGUCUUUCUGACUGCCGUGAGAUAAUCUCUUAUUGCAAUUAUGAUUUGCAUUUCUUUCAUAAUCAGUGAUUGUUGACCACAGGUAGGUUUUCUUUUAAUACACUUCUGUUCAUGUUCUUCCCCAGCUCUUUUUUUUUUUUUUUCUGAGAUGCAAUAUUGGCUGGGCGUGGUGGCUCAUGCCUGUAAUCCAAGCACUUUGGAGGCCAAGGCAGGCGGAUCACCUGAGGUCCAGUGUUCAAGACCAGCCUGACCAACAUGGUGAAACCUCGUCUUAAAAAAAAAAAAGAGAGAUGCAAUAUUGCUCUGUCACCCAGACUGGAGUUCAGUGGCAGGAUCCUGGCUCACUGAAACCCUCUACCUUCUGGGUUUAAGCAAUUCUCUUGCCUCA